GAACCAGCGGAGGGAUCAUUACUGAGUUUACGCUCUACAACCCUUUGUGAACAUACCUAUAACUGUUGCUUCGGCGGGUAGGGUCUCCGCGACCCUCCCGGCCUCCCGCCUCCGGGCGGGUCGGCGCCCGCCGGAGGAUAACCAAACUCUGAUUUAACGACGUUUCUUCUGAGUGGUACAAGCAAAUAAUCAAAACUUUUAACAACGGAUCUCUUGGUUCUGGCAUCGAUGAAGAACGCAGCGAAAUGCGAUAAGUAAUGUGAAUUGCAGAAUUCAGUGAAUCAUCGAAUCUUUGAACGCACAUUGCGCCCGCCAGCAUUCUGGCGGGCAUGCCUGUUCGAGCGUCAUUUCAACCCUCAAGCUCUGCUUGGUGUUGGGGCCCUACAGCCGAUGUAGGCCCUCAAAGGUAGUGGCGGACCCUCCCGGAGCCUCCUUUGCGUAGUAACUUUACGUCUCGCACUGGGAUCCGGAGGGACUCUUGCCGUAAAACCCCCCAAUUUUCCAAAGGUUGACCUCGGAU
RNAcentral lists this ribosomal RNA (520 nucleotides) under Colletotrichum gloeosporioides. RNAcentral's name for it is "eukaryotic LSU rRNA". The stretch from base 194 to 347 matches the Rfam family "5.8S ribosomal RNA". Lineage: Eukaryota; Fungi; Ascomycota; Sordariomycetes; Glomerellales; Glomerellaceae. The record is from RNAcentral.